GGGCCGGUAGCUCAGCUUGGUAGAGCAUUUGCCUUUUACCAGGCAAGAAAAAAAAGAUCCUGCCAUCCGGCCCG
This 74-nucleotide transfer RNA is filed under the name Nanobdellota archaeon. RNAcentral describes it as "tRNA-Lys". It matches the Rfam family "tRNA". Rfam says of the family: Transfer RNA (tRNA) molecules are approximately 80 nucleotides in length. The record is from RNAcentral. Lineage: Archaea; Nanobdellati; Nanobdellota.